AACGCGAAGAACCUUACCUACUCUUGACAUCCAGAGAAUUUGGCAGAGAUGCCUUAGUGCCUUCGGGAGCUCUGAGACAGGUGCUGCAUGGCUGUCGUCAGCUCGUGUUGUGAAAUGUUGGGUUAAGUCCCGCAACGAGCGCAACCCUUAUCCUCUGUUGCCAGCACUUCAGGGUGGGAACUCAGGGGAGACUGCCGGUGAUAAACCGGAGGAAGGUGGGGAUGACGUCAAGUCAUCAUGGCCCUUACGAGUAGGGCUACACACGUGCUACAAUGGCGCAUACAAAGAGAAGCGACCUCGCGAGAGCAAGCGGACCUCAUAAAGUACGUCGUAGUCCGGAUUGGAGUCUGCAACUCGACUCCAUGAAGUCGGAAUCGCUAGUAAUCGUAGAUCAGAAUGCUACGGUGAAUACGUUCCCGGG
RNAcentral lists this ribosomal RNA (421 nucleotides) under Dickeya chrysanthemi. RNAcentral's name for it is "bacterial SSU rRNA". It matches the Rfam family "Bacterial small subunit ribosomal RNA", at positions 958 to 1378 of the family's 1533-position model. The record is from RNAcentral. Lineage: Bacteria; Pseudomonadati; Pseudomonadota; Gammaproteobacteria; Enterobacterales; Pectobacteriaceae.